ACGGGUGAGUAACGCGUAGGUAACCUGCCUGGUAGCGGGGGAUAACUAUUGGAAACGAUAGCUAAUACCGCAUAACAGUAGAUGUUGCAUGACAUUUGCUUAAAAGGUGCAAUUGCAUCACUACCAGAUGGACCUGCGUUGUAUUAGCUAGUUGGUGGGGUAACGGCUCACCAAGGCGACGAUCAGUAGCGGGUCUGAGAGGAUGAUCCGCCACACUGGGACUGAGACACGGCCCAGACUCCUACGGGAGGCAGCAGUGGGGAAUUUUGGACAAUGGGCGCAAGCCUGAUCCAGCCAUGCCGCGUGUCUGAAGAAGGCCUUCGGGUUGUAAAGGACUUUUGUUAGGGAAGAAAAGGAUAGUGUUAAUACCAUUAUCUGCUGACGGUACCUAAAGAAUAAGCACCGGCUAACUACGUGCCAGCAGCCGCGGUAAUACGUAGGGUGCGAGCGUUAAUCGGAAUUACUGGGCGUAAAGCGAGCGCAGACGGUUUAUUAAGCAAGAUGUGAAAUCCCCGAGCUUAACUUGGGAACUGCGUUUUGAACUGGUAAGCUAGAGUAUGUCAGAGGGGGGUAGAAUUCCACGUGUAGCAGUGAAAUGCGUAGAGAUGUGGAGGAAUACCGAUGGCGAAGGCAGCCCCCUGGGAUAAUACUGACGUUCAUGCUCGAAAGCGUGGGUAGCAAACAGGAUUAGAUACCCUGGUAGUCCACGCCCUAAAC
RNAcentral lists this ribosomal RNA (717 nucleotides) under uncultured bacterium. RNAcentral's name for it is "bacterial SSU rRNA". It matches the Rfam family "Bacterial small subunit ribosomal RNA", at positions 102 to 807 of the family's 1533-position model. The record is from RNAcentral.